This 958-nucleotide non-coding RNA is filed under the name Conus tessulatus. RNAcentral's name for it is "12S ribosomal RNA". The stretch from base 239 to 957 matches the Rfam family "Microsporidia small subunit ribosomal RNA". Lineage: Eukaryota; Metazoa; Mollusca; Gastropoda; Neogastropoda; Conidae. The record is from RNAcentral.
UUUUACGAAGGCAAAUAAGGUUACUGAUUUAAAAGUGUAAAAGAGUAAGCAGAAUUUUCUUUGGUUAAAAGAUAAAAAACUUGGCUCUGAUUUUAGGUAUGGCAUGCACUAAAGGAUACACAUGGUUUUUUUAGAGGGAGGUGAGGUGGAUGACUAGUUAUCAGGGCUGGUAAAAGACUGUAAUGAUAUGGUUUUCUUGGGUGUUAUAGUAGACAUAAUAUCCUGAAAUGCCCACUAACACCAGUGUUGAAGAUUAAGUGAAAGGCGAAAGCUUGUAUUAGUUUAGUGUAUAAAAUUUGGUUAAUUUGGUGCCAGCAUCCGCGGUUAAACCAAGAAAUUUAGUCAUUCUUUUACGGUAAAAAGAUAGUUAGGCAAGCAACAUGAAGGACCACUGGAUCUUUAGUGGAGGAGUAAAAUCUAGACACUAAAAGUUAUACCGGACGUGGUUUAAUUUUCGGUGCUGAAUCUGUGAUAGCUUUAAGGGAAACUGGGAUUGGAUACCCCAUUAUUUAUAGUUGUAAAUUUAGUUUGAGCUUACCAGAGUACUACGAAUAAAUAGUUUAAAACUCAAAGGGCUUGGCGGUGUUUUAGACCUCUCAGGGGAACCUGUCUCGUAAUCGACAAUCCACGUUAGACCUAACCUUUUAUGGCGAAACAGCCUGUAUACCGUCGUCGUCAGGUAACUUCUUAAAAUAUAGUAGUUAGCUCGAGAAUUUUAUUAAUUAAGACGUCAGAUCAAGGUGCAGCCAAUGAAAAGGUGAGGAUGGGUUACAAUUACAUAUUUGUAAAUACGGAAAACGUUUGAAACUAAGUGUUUUAAAGGAGGACUUGAAAGUAAUUUUAGUUAUAUAAAUAGAAUGAAUAAGGCUCUGAAACGUGCACACAUCGCCCGUCGCUCUCGUUGAAAAAUGAGAUAAGUCGUAACAUAGUAGGGGUAAUGGAAAUUGUUCCUAGGCUG